UACGUAGGGGGCGAGCGUUGUCCGGAUUUAUUGGGCGUAAAGAGCUCGUAGGUGGUUUGGUAAGUCGGAUGUGAAAUCUCCAGGCUCAACCUGGAGGGGUCAUUCGAGACUGCCAUGACUAGAGUUCGGUAGAGGAGUACGGAAUUCCUGGUGGAGCGGUGAAAUGCGCAGAUAUCAGGAGGAACACCCGUAGCGAAGGCGGUACUCUGGGCCGAUACUGACACUGAGGAGCGAAAGCGUGGGGAGCGAACAGGAUUAGAUACCCUGGUAGUCCACGCCGUAAACGUUGGGCACUAGGUGUGGGGUUCUAUCGACGGAUUCCGUGCCGUAGCUAACGCAUUAAGUGCCCCGCCUGGGGAGUACGGCCGCAAGGCUAAA
This 378-nucleotide ribosomal RNA is filed under the name uncultured bacterium. RNAcentral describes it as "bacterial SSU rRNA". It matches the Rfam family "Bacterial small subunit ribosomal RNA", at positions 524 to 898 of the family's 1533-position model. The record is from RNAcentral.